RNAcentral lists this ribosomal RNA (257 nucleotides) under uncultured bacterium. RNAcentral describes it as "partial 16S ribosomal RNA". It matches the Rfam family "Bacterial small subunit ribosomal RNA", at positions 524 to 779 of the family's 1533-position model. The record is from RNAcentral.
UACAGAGGGUGCGAGCGUUGUCCGGAAUCACUGGGCGUAAAGGGCGCGUAGGUGGCGCGACAAGUCAGUGGUGAAAGUUCGACGCUCAACGUCGAAUCGGCCACUGAUGACUGUUGGGCUUGAGCACUGUAGAGGCUAAUGGAAUUCCGGGUGUAGCGGUGGAAUGCGUAGAGAUCCGGAAGAACACCGGUGGCGAAGGCGGUUAGCUGGGCAGUUGCUGACGACUGAGGCGCGACAGCGUGGGAGCAAACAGGGAU